UUGGUUUGGGGUUGUUAAUUUAUUACAGAGAUUAGUUCUUCUACUGGAGCUAAAAACACUUGUGUGCACGGAGAUCGCUUUUGGCUCAAAACACUGCUUAAAAA
Etheostoma spectabile (orangethroat darter) is the source of this 104-nucleotide long non-coding RNA. RefSeq lists it as uncharacterized. The record is from RefSeq and is a predicted model, not a curated record. Lineage: Eukaryota; Metazoa; Chordata; Actinopteri; Perciformes; Percidae. The transcript is spliced from 3 exons.